AGAGUUUGAUCCUGGCUCAGAUUGAACGCUGGCGGAAUGCUUUACACAUGCAAGUCGAACGGGGUCAUGGGGCUUGCUCCAUGACCUAGUGGCGAACGGGUGAGUAAUACAUAGGAACGUGUCCCGUAGUGGGGGAUAACGCAGCGAAAGCUGUGCUAAUACCGCAUAUGCUCUGAGGAGGAAAGCGGGGGACCGCAAGGCCUCGCGCUAUGGGAGCGGCCUAUGUCCGAUUAGCUAGUUGGUGGGGUAAAGGCCUACCAAGGCGACGAUCGGUAGCUGGUCUGAGAGGAUGAUCAGCCACACUGGAACUGAGACACGGUCCAGACUCCUACGGGAGGCAGCAGUGGGGAAUUUUGGACAAUGGGGGAAACCCUGAUCCAGCCAUUCCGCGUGAGUGAAGAAGGCCUUCGGGUUGUAAAGCUCUUUCGGCAGGGAAGAAACGGACACGGAUAAUACCUGUGUCUAAUGACGGUACCUGACUAAGAAGCACCGGCUAACUACGUGCCAGCAGCCGCGGUAAUA
RNAcentral lists this ribosomal RNA (522 nucleotides) under uncultured bacterium. RNAcentral describes it as "bacterial SSU rRNA". It matches the Rfam family "Bacterial small subunit ribosomal RNA", at positions 8 to 525 of the family's 1533-position model. The record is from RNAcentral.